ACACCUCAACUCUCAUGGUUUACCAUGAUGAGCUUGGACUUUGGGGGUCUUGCUGGCCUGUGGGCCAGCUCCUCUCAAAUGGAUUAGCUUGCCAGUGUUUGGUGGCAUCACAGGUGUGAUAACUAUCUACGCUUGUGGUUUUCCACCAGGGUAACCUUCAGCAAUGGAGGUUCGCUGGGGCUUACGAAUGUCUCUCCUCAGCGAGGACAGCUCUUUGAAC
This 220-nucleotide unclassified non-coding RNA is filed under the name uncultured Tomentella. RNAcentral describes it as "sequence contains ITS2". The record is from RNAcentral. Lineage: Eukaryota; Fungi; Basidiomycota; Agaricomycetes; Thelephorales; Thelephoraceae.